AUAGACAUGCAUAUGGAAUGUGGUUCGAUUUCUAUUCUAUACGGCUCAAAAUAGAGCCAUGGGAUCACCGGACUGAACCAGCAAGGUCGCGGCUAAGUCGGGUUACCCAUGACUCCGGCUUCGUCAAAGAACCGACCCGUGUCGCGCGGUUGCAGACCGGGGUGGGUACCUUCGACGUGAAGAAAGAAAUUUCGGGAUAGAGAUGGGCGACUCGUACUACGCGGUUGUAGUCGGAGUGGUAUCCACCUCAACACCAUCCUAAGUGAUCCUAUGCAGCCCAGGUCCGGCUGCAGGUUGUGUGUGCUAGGGUGUAGUGCAAUGCAAAAGAUACAUGCACAACAAUUUAUAGGCAAACAACACUCCGUACAUAAAAAAUAAACCAUACAUUCCAACACCUCCCUACAAGACAAAGGUGAGCAAACACUUCCCCUUAUACCUCCCAUUCUGCAAAAAUAUUUAACACCUUUAAUGUUAGGGACGUACUUGGAAUCAUCGCUGCCAAACAAAAACAUUUUUUUAAACAAGAUUAAUUCUGGCCUAAGUCCUCUAAGGUUCAAAACCAAGUCCCCAGCGGAGUCGCCAAGCUGUCACGACCUACCCCCGGAGGGAGAGAACAGGUUUAGGGGUAUUGCCUAAAGGACGGGGCUAAGGCCCGUGAUCAGGCGUGGGCUCUCCCAAGCCCAUACCCCGCGUGACAUUGGGAUAUUCUUUAGAAUUUUUGCACAAAAGGAGUCGCCACUAGCCUAUUGGGGUCGGCUAGAAACCAAGUGAGGUAUGGGAGUGUACAUCACUUCCUACGCAACCAGAGAAUCUAGAUUCGGGGACUUGAUUACACUAAUUAACUAAUUAGUGCCCUUUCGGUACCUAAUCUUGUUCAUUUUAACAAAAUGAUUUUUGACAGACAGUUUGAAUUGAUUUUAUACUUAUCCACUAACAUAUGAGGUGAUCAUGCAGGUGCGCAAUCAUUAAAGUAAUAAUCAUAACUAUCAAGAUCCUAAUUGCCAUAAAAUUAAACAUAUGCAAUCAAACAUAAUUAGAUAUGCAAAUAAAACAUGUAACGUAAUCAACAUACAAGCACAUAAAGGUCUAAUUACACUAAAAUGGCAAUACAUGGCAAGUCCUAGUCAAACCCCAUCAUUUUGGAUUUUCGAAAUUUUUAAUUAAUUUUUUUUAAUUUUUUUUUAAAUUUUUUAAAGAAAAAUAACUAAUUUCUGAUUUUUAAAUAUUUUUUGGAUUUUCGAAAUUUUUUUAAUUAAUUUUUUUCAAAAUUUUUUUAAAUAUUUUUUUAAAUAUUUUUUAGUAAAUUUUUUGAUUUUUUUUUAAAAAAAAAUUAUUUUUUGAAUUUUUAAAUUUUUUAAAUUAAUUUUUGAUUAAAAAAAAGAAGUGAACCGGGUCAGGUUCGGCUCGACCCGACCCGACCUGGUCAACGCAGAUCGGGUCCGGUCUCCGACCGGACCCGGGUUCGGCCCAGGUGGGCCCGAAGCAUAGGCCUAGCCCAAGAAUUCCUCUCUCUUCUCUUUUAAAACAAAGCAGGCCCACAAGUCUAUACCAAACUAGCCCACAAGCCCAAACUAAACUAGCCCACGAGCCCAAACUAAACUAGCCCAAACCCAAAAGGCAGAUGGCCCACUACGACAGGCCCACGUGGAUAGAAACCCUACCCGGUUCGCGACCCGUACCCGACCCGGUUUUGGGCUGAAACCUAGGGUUUGCUGGCGGCGCUGACAACGGCGGCGGCGGGCUUGACGGCAGCGGCGGUGCGGCGGAGCAGAUGCGGAGACGCGGCGGCGCGGCGAAGCAGAGGCGGAGACGCGGCGGAGCAGAGGCGAAGACGCGGCGGCCGGCCUGGGAUCUGCUGGCGUCGGGGGCAGCGGCGUCGAGCUACAAGCAGAGCACGGCGGGUUGUCGCAGGCGGAGGAGCGGCAUCGGACGAGUAGAUCACGAGCAGAGCAAGGGCAGCAGCAACUUUGCAGGGAUCUCGCGGUUUGCAAGUGAGGCGGAGCGCGACGGCGGAUGGCCUGGUGGUGCAGCGGAGUUCGAUCAACUCCCAGAUCUAGUUCGUCUCCGGUUGGUUCGGCGUCGGGAACGCUGUGGGUGGUGAACGACGGCAGCAGCAGCAGGGAGGCGUUGUUCGAUGAGGGUCAGUAAGCAGCUCGUCGGGACGGAGGGCGGCGACGGCUCGAGCGGCGUUGAGCGCAGCAGGUGGCGGCGGCUACGCGGCGGACAGCAACGACGACAUCGGGGUCUGCGAGGAUGGGCGGCGGCUGCGUCGGAGGCGAGCGGAAGCAUCAGGUCGUCGCGGGCGGAGUCAGGCAGCGCUCGGGCGCGGUGGCUCUGAGUUUGUCCUCCCUCUCCCUUUGGUCUCGGUUAGCUCGGCGUCGGGAGCAACGGAGAAGGGUGCUGCGGCUACUGGCGUCGGCAGAAGCGGCGUCGAGCUCGGAGGGCGGCGGCGAGGACGGCGUCGGUUUGAGGUGGCGAGGACUGCGACGGCGGCGUCGGUUUGAGGCGGCGAGGACUGCGACGGCGGCGUCGGUUUGAGGCGUCGAGGAUUGCGAUGGCGGCGUCGUAGCUUCGGGCUGCAGGAAGCAGCGUUCGGAGGGCAGCAGCGUAGACGGCGUCGAGCAACGCCAGCGCCGCCGCUGCCCUCCUCCCCCUCCUUUCCCUCUUUCUCUUCUCUGGUUUUCUUCGUUUCUCCUCCCCGCCCCCUCUCUCUCCUUGCUGCCUCCUCCGAACCCCCUCUCCUCUGCUAGGGUUUCACGCACGAAGAGGAAGAGAGAAAGCGGCAUGGGCCGGGCCAAGGCGAGAUUCGGCCCGGCCCCUUCCAUGUCUCUUUUUUUCUAUUUUUUUGUUGUUUUUGUUUUCUUUUUUAUCUUUUGUUUGCUUUGUUGUUCUUUUUUUUUUGUUCUUUUUUUUUAUCAUUUUUCUUAAACGACUAAUUCCUAAUUCUGUAGACAAUUAAAUCCUAAAUGAAAAAAUGGGAAAAAUUAGGUGUCAACACAAUGUCUAAUGAAAUCAUCCUUACAAACCGAAGCAUAGUCCUUCACUUGAGGAAGCAGAAGAAAAAACAAGGGCUUGAAAAUAGCCAUGAUUCUUUAUAUAAGGUACACUAAGGGCCUAUUUUCACGGUGUUAAUUGCUGGGAGCACAUCAGCAUGGUGAACAAAAACCUCACGGGAGAAUUUCACUUUCUUCUUUUAGAAAAUUUUGGGCAUUAUUUUUCUGUUUUUAUGUGCCACCAUGUAUCAUUAAAAGGUUUGUAUUGAGAGAAUCCAUCGGCCUUCUCUAUCUUCAACAUGUAUUGUACUUCUUGCUUAUCCAAAACUAAAUAUCCUUGAAUUUUAUAAUUUUGCCCUUGAUAUUUUGAAUCCAAUUGACUUAUUUAGUCCAUUUAUUUAAUUAACUGGAAUUUCAUGAUAAAUUAUAUGAGUGACCUAUGGCCCAAGUCUUAUAAUAAGAUAAGCCUCAUCAUGUUCUUUACAAGUAGGGACCUAUUUCAAUUAUCGCCACCUUGGAUUACACUUGAAUAAUCAUUGUAUGAUUUAACCCAAAUGAAUUAGAUUGAUUGUUACAACUGGUAUCAGAGCUCAUAGUGGCAAAGUUCCUAAUAGCCCGAGCUAUGGCAGCCCAUCCCAAAUGGCCACCAUCUUAAUUGAUUUCAAGUACUCCUAUAAAAAGUUUAGUUUGAUAUAUUAGGUUGGCUUGAUGUAGUGAGAGACUAUGGAGGGGAUACAUUUUGUCAUGAUAUAAAUUGCCAUCUUCUCAUGCAAACGUGACUCGAGCAUUAAGAAAAAAUCAACAGUAGAAAUAUGAAGUAAAAUGGAGAGAGGAGAAACAAAAAGAGGAGAUGACACUUUGGACUUCGCAGGGAAAAGGAAGGAGAGAGAAAAAUAUAGGGCCAUGAUGGGGGCGUUUUUGUAAUUUGCUCAAAGGUCAUCGUUCGGAAUAUCGGAUUGCUACAACUAUGCAUUUCGAAUCAGUCACCCUAAUUCUUGCACACGUUUCUUUGAACACUCGUUGUUUAGUUUAAAUUAGUUCUCUACUGUAUCCAUAGUUAAUUUUUUUUAUCCUAGCACUAUAUUUCCUAAUCCGUAAUUGCAACAGUCCCCCUCUCCCCCCUCCCCCCCAAAAAAAAUUCUCCACACAAAAAAAAAAAAAGUUGCAACACAAAACCAAUUUAUUUGAGGCAACUUCUUCUCCAGAACGUUAAUCUCACCAAGAAUCAACAAUUUGAAAAAUACAAAUACUUGUUGAAGAUGAAAUAUUUUUCUUUGACUAAUUUUUCAAAAAGAUAAAUAAUUAUUUUUAGAUAUAUAUUUAUUAAAUAUUUUUUUUCCACAAAACAAAUGCAUAAAAAAAUUGUGUAUCCACUGCCGCUCAAUAAAGUUGGGUUGUGUAAAUUAUACAAAUUGGGGAAUAAAACCAUGAACGAAUGUAGCAAAAAUAUCAAAUCAGAUGAAACAAGAACAGAACUGGAAGCUAAAAAAAAAAGAAGCUGAACAGAUAAAACAGCUUCUGAUGUUCGGCACGAAAAUCUCAACCUCCAAAGUCAAGAAGAGCGACUUAAAAAAUAUACAACCCCAAUUGCAUAAGCAACUCAAUCUGGAAUCGGUCAGUUUUCUAUAUUUGCAGAGAUCGCCCAAUCGACUUGAUUGUUGAUCGUAAAACAAUUGUGAAAGUGGCGAAACGAACAGUUCAAACCCGAGUUCGUCCUCUCACAUCUGUUAGAGGACAUUGUAACUUGAUGGUUUAUAUGUAAUGGGCUCAAAGCCCGUCCGCCCAAGUUGGGCCCAAAAAGCCCAGCCCACGGGAAUAGGGCCCGUGGAUGGGGGAAGGUAUAAAAGGGAGGAGAGAGAGAGAUGACACCGGUUGGAAAAAGAAAAUAAACGUACGUCUUUUUCUUCUCACGCUCUCUCUCUCUCGCUUUCUCUCCCAAAAGGAAAUAGUGAAGCGCAAUUAUUGAACAGGGCCAAGUUUCUCUUCCUCUUACCAGUGUCGGUGUCUAAUCUGUGGCUUAAAAGGUACGCUCGAAUCCAUGGUGUGCUUUAGGUCGGUGAUACGUGUUGUUUUCCCGGGCUCGUCUUCCGCAUUGAUUUAGGGGUUCGAUUUAGUGUCGAAUCUGGUUUUCGGGGAUCCGUUAUUCCCAACAUUGGUAUCAGAGCCCUAGUUCACGUUUUCCCGACUUGUUUGACGUUUUUUGAUUGAUUUUUCGCAAAAGCAAUUCGGCCGUACGGAUCGGGGUGAGAAAUCCCGACACCCGAGCGCUGUUCGGCCAUUUUUCCGAGUUUUCGUAAGUCGAAAUCGAAUUCUAAUGGCAUAGGAAGAAAGGCGACGUCGAGACGAGUCUGGCGAUACGUCGAGCGGCGCCGGGAGACGCCGCACGCGCCCACACGUGCGGCUGGAAGCCGCUCCGCGUGGGCGCGACGCGCCCGGAAGCGCUGGCUCGCCCAGCGCGUGCGACACACGCGCCGGUCGACGAACCGGCACGUGCUCGCUGCCGGCCGGCGAACCGGCACGCGCCGAUCCGCGGACCGACGCGUGCUGACGUCACCCAACGGUCAGUAACCGCUAGGGUGACGUCAUCGAUGACGUCAGCACGACGACGGUUCGCAGGGCGGUCACCGGCCGGCGACCCGACCGGCGACCCAACCCGACCUGAACCGCGGACGUCGGCACGCGAGCGGCAUGUGCCAGCUGACGUCUACGUGACGUCAGCCCGCGCACGCGUGCGGCAUGUGCCGUCGAUUUGCCCGAACCGGCCCGACCGGUCCGACCGGCCCAACCGGUCUGACCGGCCCGACCGGUCUGGCCCAACCGGUCCGACGGCCGACGACCUGACCAUUGACCGUUGACCGUUGACCGUUGACCCAAAAAAAAACAAAAAGGAAAAGAAUGUGUUUCUUUUUCAAUUAAGUCUAUGUGGAUUAUUUGUGAUCCCUUAUUUGUUCUGCAUUUGUUGCAGGAACAGUUCUGCAUUUGUUGCACGAACAAUGUCUCCCUUGAGGUUGCGCACACCUAUUCGCGCAGUUACUGAUGAACAAAAGGACAGGCUGUCUAAGUUGAUAGCUGAGCUGACUGAUCAUCGAUAGGAGAGUGGAGAGUUAAUUGAUCAUGUCCUUGAGGUCAAUGGGAAGAUUCAACAGGUCAAAUGGAAUGGUCGUUCUAUGCCACAGUCAGAGAUGGUGCGAUUUUUCAUAAACACUCUUCCACUUAAAUGGCAAGAUGUGUUGAAUCGCAUAUGGGAUGUCAAUGGAGCUGCUUCAUAUAAGAAAGUUGUGAUGGAUUUUGUAAAUGAAUAUUACUGCAUUGUUACAAGGGAAAAGAUCAAGAAAUUGAACAAAAGAGGAUCUUUCCCAGUUCGUGUGCUGGCUUAGUGUUAGAUGUAUUGGCUGUUUUCUUAGUUAAGUGUGCUUUUGUGGACAUCUUAUGUAAUGCUUACUACCUAAUUGUUGUUAAUGUAGCAACCUAUAUGUUAGUUGUAUUAUAUGAAAGCAUUAUUAUAUUGUAUGUCAAUGUAUCUAUUACUUUAUGUUAUUGCCGGUUGCUGUGGGUAGUUAGCUGUGGGUAGUUAUAGAAGUUUUUGUAACUUCAUAGAAUUUAUUUUGCAUAAGACAAUUAUAUUGAUGAUAGUUUUAAGUUAGGAUUUUGGAGGAUGAUUGGAAACAUAGUGACCUUUUGAUUCUGAAGCCUUACUUGAAAUUAUUCAUUAAUAUGAUGGGUCUAUGCAAAUAGGGAUGCAUAAAUGAUAGGCAUUAAUAAUUCGUGCAUAUAAUUCGUGCAAAUGGGUCUAUGAUGGGUCUGAUGUGUUCAGAUCAAUGGCUUCAGCCACGAAGAGCAUAGUUGCCGAGCUGAACAAAUGUGAAAAGCUCAAUGGUGACAACUAUGAGAUAUGGCACAUGAAAAUCUAAUAUGUGCUGGAAGAGCAAGAGGCACUUGAGGCUCUUAACCUGACCAUGGUAGAACUUGAAGAAGGAAAUACUGCACAGCACAAAAGAGAUAAUGAAGCUUUUGUUGCAUGGAAACGAAAGAACUCUCUUGCUCGCAUCACAUUGCUGAGCAGCAUGGAAAAUGACGUCAUGCGAGAGUUUAGGCGUUUUGACAAUGCCAAGGAAAUGUGGGAGGCAUUGGCAGCUAGAUUUGGUCAUACUUCGGUGACCAGACUGAGACAGCUCACUAUUAGGUUUGACUCCUAUAAGAAGCCUCAUGGUCAGAUCAUGAAGCAACAUCUUAGAAAGAUGUCAAAUAUGAUAAAUGAGCUGAAAGAUGCUGGCCAUGUCCUCACAGAUGAGCAGCAGGUGCAAGCAGUGAUUCGUUCAUUGCCUCAGAGUUGGGAGCAUAUGAAGGUGCACCUGACUCAUAAUGAAAAUAUCAAAACUUUCGAGGAUGCAAUGCGUCAUCUUGAGCUGGAAGAGGACCGCCUCUUGGCGGCUAAGCCGGAUGCUAAACUCUAUCAUGCUAGUUCUAGCUCAAAUGGAGCUUCGAGCUCCAAGCGCAAGCGCCCUAACUGGUUUGAUAAAGGGAAAGGCAAGGAAGAAGGUCCUUCAGGGAAGAAACCCAAGUUUAACCAACAUGAAAGAGGAAAGCGUCCUCGCAUGAAGAAGCUUGCAAGGGUGAAAUGCUACAACUAUGACAAGAAGGGUCACUAUGCUCGCGACUGUCGUGAGCCAAAAAAGGUAUGCACCCCUUGUACUUUUCAGAACUUUGCUUAUGUGUCGAGUUAUGUGUUCUUAACUGAGUCAAAUCCUUUGUGGACUGUGGAUUCAGGAGCGACGGACCAUGUAGCGAAGGAUAGAGGAUCCUUCGUGGAAUUCCGACGAGUACCAACNNNNNNNNNNNNNNNNNNNNNNNNNNNNNNNNNNNNNNNNNNNNNNNNNNNNNNNNNNNNNNNNNNNNNNNNNNNNNNNNNNNNNNNNNNNNNNNNNNNNAAUUGGCACAUGCCAACUGAAGAUGCGUGGUGAACGCACUUUGUUCCUACAUGAUGUGUUAUAUGCUCCGGAGAUUCGUCGGAAUUUAGUGUCUGUAUUAGUGUUGGUUAAAUUAGGUUUUAAUAUGAACUUCUAUAAUAGAGGCGUUGAUUUAUUUUUUAAUACAAAUUACUAUGGUCGUGGUUAUUUUCUGGAUGGUUUCAUUGUAUUAGAUAUUGAUUAUGUUAAUAUAAAUGUUUGUUAUUCCCUUCUCACGUCUCCUAAUACAUAUAAUAAUGAUGUGAAUGUGUGGCAUGCUAGACUUGGUCACAUUGGCCAACAGCGUAUGAAUAGACUAGCCAAAGAGGGCUUGUUAGGCAACAUUGAAAAAGUCGAUUUGCCCAUAAGUAAGCAUUGCCUAGAAGGGAAAACGACAAGGAAACCAUUUGUUAAAGGUAAAAGAGCUGAAUUUCCUCUGCAUUUAAUCCAUUCUGAUGUCUGUGGUCCAAUGAAUGUGAAAGGAAUGCAUGGGGCUGUUUAUUUCAUCACCUUUAUAGAUGAUUAUACUCGAUUCGAAUAUAUCUAUUUGAUUUCUCAUAAAUCUGAAGCAAUAAGUUGUUUCAAAAGGUUUAUGAACCUAGUAGAGAAUCAAUUAGACAAGAAAAUAAAGGCGUUUGAGAUCCGAUCGAGGUCGAGAAUAUUUUAUCUGAUGAGUUCAGAAAAUUGUGUGAUGAAAAAGGAAUAGACAGACAGUUGUCUAUUCCAUAUACUCCUCAACAAAAUGGUGUUGUAGAGAGAAAAAACAGAACCCUACUGGAAAUGGUUAGGUCCNNNNNNNNNNNNNNNNNNNNNNNNNNNNNNNNNNNNNNNNNNNNNNNNNNNNNNNNNNNNNNNNNNNNNNNNNNNNNNNNNNNNNNNNNNNNNNNNNNNNNNNNNNNNNNNNNNNNNNNNNNNNNNNNNNNNNNNNNNNNNNNNNNNNNNNNNNNNNNNNNNNNNNNNNNNNNNNNNNNNNNNNNNNNNNNNNNNNNNNNNNNNNNNNNNNNNNNNNNNNNNNNNNNNNNNNNNNNGUACUUAGAACACUUGAAAGGAUAUGUGUUCAUAGGUGAGCAGGAAAGUGGGAGUAUAACUGAGUUGAAUCACGAGAUAUCACAUUCUUAGAGGAUGAAUUUCCUAAGAAGGGCGAAAUAGGGGAAGAUUGUUCCCUAUUUGAGACCUUGGAUCAGGAUAAUGAUGUUAGUGGAGUUCGUCCAAGUGGGAGUAAUAUGAGAAGUGAUGAAUUGAAUUCAACUCAUUCUCAAUUGCAACCGCAUGAUGAGACGACAUCAUCAUUACCUAAUCCAAGUGGGAGCAUGAUGGGGAAUGAUGUGCAAAGUGUACAAUCUCCCAUAUGGCGAACAAGUCGCCAAAGUAUUCCCCAUCGACGUUUUGACAUAGAAGGGGAAAAUUUUAUGGUUGCUCCACAAGAUGAGGAUGAGCCAAGAAAUAUUAAUGAGGCUCUGAAUUGCCCUAAGGAAAAAUGGAUUAAUGCAAUGGAAGAGGAAAUGGAGUCAAUGAAAUGAAACCAAGUCUAGGAACUGGUUGAUCUUCCAAAAGGACACAAAGCUAUUGGGAACAAGUGGGUUCUCAAAAUAAAGUGAAAGGCUGAUGGCUCGAUUGAAAGGCAUAAGGCUCGCCUUGUGGCGAAGGGGUAUAAUCAACAGGAAGGAAUUGAUUAUGAAGAUACAUUUUCUCCUGUAGUGAGAUUUACCUCGAUUCGCAUUAUUCUGGCAAUAGUGGCUAGUCUGGAUCUUGAGUUACAUCAAAUGGAUGUAAAGACUGCUUUCCUCAAUGGAGAAUUAGAGGAAGAAAUAUAUAUGGAACAACCUGCUUGUUUCAUAGUGAAAGGCCAAGAAGAAAAAGUAUGUCGACUUUUGAGGUCGAUAUAUGCUCUUAAGCAGUCAUCAAGACAAUGGUAUAUACGUUUUCAUAAUGCCAUAAUGGCAUAUGAUUUUACGAUGAUUGAUGAGGAUUAUUGUGUAUAUAUCAAAAGAUCCAAUGAUCAAUUUGUGAUCAUAUCAUUAUAUGUUGAUGAUAUACUAAUUGCCGGAAGCAAUAUGGAGUUUGUUAAGACUGUCAAGAGUUGGUUGUCUUCCAACUUUGAGAUGAAGGACAUGGGUGAGGCUGCAUACAUUCUUGGAGUUAAGAUUUCAAGAGAUCGUUUGAAGAGAUCAUUGUCUCUUUCACAAGAAACCUAUAUAAAUAAGGUUCUUGAACGAUUUCGUAUGCAAGAUUGUAAACCCAUAGACACUCCUAUUGCAAAAGUGAAGGAUUGAGCCAUAGACUGUGUCCAAAGACUCCACAAGAGAAUGAACAAAUGAAACAUGUUCCUUAUGCUAGUGCUGUUGGGGAGCUUGAUGUACGUUAUGAUGUGUACAGACCCGACAUAUGUUUUGCAGUUGGANNNNNNNNNNNNNNNNNNNNNNNNNNNNNNNNNNNNNNNNNNNNNNNNNNNNNNNNNNNNNNNNNNNNNNNNNNNNNNNNNNNNNNNNNNNNNNNNNNNNNNNNNNNNAAUGAUCUGCGACUUGGGGCUAUUUAGAUGCUGAUUGGGGAGGAGAUUUAGAUGAAAGAAAAUCUACCUCAGGAUUUGUUUUCUUACUGAGCAAUGGCGCCAUAUCAUGGAGUAGUAAGAAGCAAACGUGCAUAGCCUUAUCCACGAUGGAAGCUGAGUUCGUGGCAUUAUCAGCAGCAGUACAAGAAGCAGUUUGGCUUAAGAGAUUCUUGGAUCAUUUAGGUGUUAUUGAGAAAGCUGCAAAUCAAUUAUUAAUUAACUGUGAUAGCCAAGUAGCUAUAGCAUACACCAAAGAUCCAAAGUAUCAUGGCAAGACCAAACAUAUAGAUACAAAGUAUAACUUUGUAAAAGAUAUGGUUGCACGAAAGGAUGUGAACUUACAGUACAUAUCUACGCAUAGAAUGGUAGCAGAUCCUAUGACAAAGCCAAUACCUAGAGAUGUGUUUUGUGGUCAUGUAAAAUCUCUAGGAUUGUGUAGAGUCUGAUGUACUGGAUUGUAAUUUCCCUGAGUUGUUCACAUUUAUGAACUAGUGUUGUUUCAUUAUUAAUGCCUAUGAAUCUUUGUUUGAUCUUUAUGCAUCUUAAUACUCAGUGUAUUAUUUUAAGUUGAGGAAGUAUGUCGGACAGAUAAAAAAUUAGCCCACUCACACGGGUAAUCGCCUCUAUUUACUGUGUGAUAAAUAGAGAUGAGACUGUUUUUAAGAUUAUUAUCUAGGUGAUAAUCGAUAGCUCAAGCUUAAAAUACGUAUGUUGCCUUAACUAAGUGUUAAGAUGAUGACAUAAUACUUACUAUGUCCGAAAGUAAAAUACCCCACAUAUUUUACUUUAUCUGUCUAAGAUGCCAGAUGUGAGUUCUGAUGAAUUUUGUAAAAGAGUAGAUACGUGAACUCAAGUUAGACAUUGGGUAUGUCUGAACUAUCAUCUGUAUGGUAUUGAAAGGUGUAGACAUACGCUCCAUGGGAAAUAAGUUAAUAUCGUAAUACGUAUUUCAUACUACGUAUGCAUAAGCCGACCAAUAAGAGUGGCAAAAAGUUUGAUCUCAACUUUUAUGAUGUGUGAGACUCUUGAGGAAAAGAGUUCCUCAAUUUUAGUGCCCUCAUGACUUUUACUUAUUCUCAAGGUUUCUAUUUAGUCUUAGGAUGUUGCCAAUGGUCGCCAAUGGUCAUGAGUUGAUUCGAUCUAAUGAAACAUUUCUAGAAAAGCAAGCUGAACUGAAAUUGAGAGUUUGGAGGAAAGAGGAAGAUCGAUUUUGGGGAAUCACAUUGUAGUUCUGUAUUCACUGGUUGACUAAUUAUGACUGUCUUUGUGAUAAUUAUAAUUGUAAAUACAAUAUAUAUAUCAUGUUUAAAAGAGAUCAAGAGAGAUAUAAAAUGUGAUCGAUCGAUCUAGGGUACUGCAUACUAAAUCUACUCAGAGUGUGACGCCCAUUAUGAGCUGCUAUAUAUUCCUAACAGAUGUAUAGCAACGAGCUCUCAAAGUAUGCUGGUCGCACGAAUUAUUCACCGGUAUGAAUGUUGAAGAGAGGUAAAGAGAAUCCUGUUCAGCCCACCAUGUGCGAGUGGGAGAUGAUGGUUUAUAUGUAAUGGGCUCAAGGCCCGUCUGCCCAAGUUGGGCCCAAAAAGCCCUGCCCACGGGAAUAGGGCCCGUGGAUGGGGGAAGGUAUAAAAGGGAGGAGAGAGAGAGAUGACACUGGUUGGAAAAGAAAAUAAACGUACGUCUUUUUCUUCUCAUGCUCUCUCUCUCUCUCUCUCGCUUUCUCUCCCAAAAGGAAACAGUGAAGCGCAAAAGGCGAAAUUGCUUCAUCGGAUCGAACAGGGCCAAGUUUCUCUUCCUCUUACUGGCGUCGGUGUCUAAUCUGUGGCUUAAAAGGUACGCUCGAAUACGUGGUGUGCUUUAGGAUCGGUGAUAUGUGUUGUUUUCCCGGGCUCGUCUUCCGCAUUGAUUUAGGGGUUCAAUUUAGUGUCGAAUCCGGUUUUCGGGGAUCCGUUAUUCCCAACGUAACUUUAAUUGUGAUUGAACCCAAGUGUGCACCUGGUAAAAGGGCGUUGUUCUGUGUAUGCACCCUCCUUGGUCUCUUCUGCAUCUUUCCCAGUCUCUUAGCACCCAUCAACAAUGCCAGAUCCUCUUCGAUUUCUUCCUUCGACAGUGCCACCGGAAGCUUCCUUAUCCUCUCUGGAAUCCUCUUCUUGCUCUUCGUUUCUUCGGCUGUGCCUCUCUCAUGAAUGCGAUGCCAUGACCGUGCGUCCUUUCCGGGUCUGAAAUCCCACGGCUCCUUUUCCUUCUCCUCGUCUUUUGUUGACACCCAAAUUUCAAUUAAGUUAUUCAUUAGGCCCUGUUUUCUUUUGUUUCUCCUUUUUUCAUAUAAUAAAUAAUAAAUAAAAGCAAACAAAAAAAACAAAAACAAAACAAAAGCAGAAAGAAAGCAAGAAAGCCCUCGCAUGGGCCCGCGAGGCCCAUUUCCGCUUCAGCCCAGCCCAGCCGGGUCUUCUUCUUCCUUGCGCAGUUGCAGUGCACGCGCAGAGGGCGCGACGCUAGAGCGGAGGGGAGGAGCAGCAGUGACACACGUGGAGCAGGGGGCGGCUGGUGUCGGAUAAGAACGUGGGAGGGCCAGCUGGCGUCGGAUAGGACGCCGGUUCGGCCGGCGGAGGCCGCUUGGCGCACGAGGACCGGCGGUCGAAGCUCCAUCGACUGGCUGCUCCCUCGCCUAUAAAUAGGCCCCCGUUUCCGUUGUCGAAGGGGCACGCCAGAAGAUUGCAAGCUUGGAAACUUCUUCCUGAGAGACUUCGGAGGAGGUUGAAGAGCGAGCGAGAGGAAGGCGAGCGAGAGAGAACUCGGGUCGCGAGUUCGGCUGACCUCACAAUGAGAGACUUCGGGGGAGGCUGCCGGUGAGCGAGUCCGAGGUGGUCAGAUCCGGCCGGUGGAGGCUCGGAUCUGGCCGAGGGGGAGAGAUCCGGAGUGGAAGAAGCCGAGGCCGUAGAAGGUCGAAGCUGGAGAGAGGAGGUUCCGGAGGACUAGAUCUGGGGAGCCGAAGCCUCGCCUUCGCCGAUGCUGCUGCUCCGCCACCGUUCCAACGCCGUUGCCACGACCGAUUCGCCCAAGCCGCACCAGAUCCGGAGGUGAGGAGCUGCUGUCGCUACCCCACCGUCGUAACCUGCACCUACAGCCCCUUGUCGCCGCCAUCGUUCACCGCCUUAUCGCGCCGUUGUUGCAAACAGGUAACAGUAGACGCCGCCACCGCCCCCAGACGCAUUGUCGCCGUUGCUCGAAACCCUGGCCGCCUCCCCUGUCUGUCGUCGUCAUCACCAUUGUCCCCUCCGCGAAACCCUAACCCCUGACCAAGGAGACCUGAUACAUCACCGUCGAAUGCCGCACCGCCGUCCGCCACGUCGCCGCCAUCGUCAGGCGUCGCGCCGCUGUCCGGUGACAUCCCCAGUCCCUCCACCCGCGCCGCAGACGGAUGGAGAAGCCAGCGACCUUGCGUUGGGUUGAGCAGGGUCGGGCACGGUUCGCGAAACCGGGUAGGGUUUCGCGAACCAGAGGCGGCCAAUCGUCGGGUCAGGCGUGGGUCUUGACCGGGUAGGGGUCCGGUCAGUCUGGGCCAAGCGGGUUUGGAUGCAGGUGGGCCGGUCUCACGCAGAUAGGAACUCCUUUUGUUCCUUGGGCUUCGAUUAAAAAUUUUGGGCUGGGUUAUGUUGUGCUAGAUUUUUAGCCGGGCCCGCGUUGCGGGCCCGUCCGGGUUUCGAAUAGACGACCCGGGUCGGUCCCAACCUGGGAACCCGAUCCGGGUCGUUUUUUAAAUAUAUUAAUAUAAUAAUAAAAAUUAAUAUUUUUAAAAAUAAUAAUAAAAAUUAAUUUAUUUUCGAAAAAUAUCAAAAAAAUAAAAAAUAAUUCAUAUUUUCCAAAAAAUGCCAAAAAUCCAAAAAAAGCCAAAAAUUCAUGAAAAAACCAAAAAAAUUCAGAAAAAGCAAAAAAAAACUUGUAUUUUUCCAAAAAAAAAUCCAAAAAAUCCCUUUUAUGUCCAAAAAAAUUAGAAAAAAACUCAAAAAAUAUUUUUCCUGCCAAAAAUGCAUGGAAAAUCUCUCGAACAUCCAAAAAACCUCAAGGUUUAAACAAGAUUAGGUACCAAAAGGGCAUGAGUGAUUAACUAGUGUAAUCAAGUCCCCGAUCCUAAUUUCUCUGGUUGCGCAGGAGUGAGUAUUUCUCCCGAUACUUCACUUGGGUUUCUAAUCAAUCCACCCCAAAUCGAUUAGUGGCGACUCCGUUUUAAAAUUAAUUUACAAGUUAAAAAUUUAGAUUAUUAAAGUCGUGAAUUGGUGGACUUGGGAGAGUCUGGGCAUAACAAAUUUCAGCCGAGCCAUUAGCCUCCUUAGGUGCCCGUACCCGAUCGCGGGCGCCGAAAAAAAGAGGUCGCGACAGCUUGGCGACUCCGCUGGGGAUCAUUUUUGAGGAGUUAGGUCAUUUUAUCUUUGUUUAAAUGUUUUGCUGACUUGGGUUUUUUUCUUUUGUGCAGGGUAAUAGCUUAAAGUUUUUUUAUUCUGUUAAAAUAAAAUGUUUUGUGGUUAUAAACUGCUGUGCAUCCUUAAAUGUUUUAGCACUACACAUGGCACACACAACC
RNAcentral lists this long non-coding RNA (15063 nucleotides) under Eucalyptus grandis. Its description in RNAcentral is "long non-coding RNA (EGRA_LNC002373)". Lineage: Eukaryota; Viridiplantae; Streptophyta; Magnoliopsida; Myrtales; Myrtaceae. The record is from RNAcentral.